Molecule: ribosomal RNA, 303 nt
Filed under: uncultured bacterium
Lineage: Bacteria
Description: bacterial SSU rRNA
Rfam family: Bacterial small subunit ribosomal RNA
Source: RNAcentral
GACGAACGCUGGCGGCGUGCCUAACACAUGCAAGUCGAACGGGGGUAGCAAUACCUCAGUGGCGAACGGGUGCGUAACACGUGAAGAAUUUGUCCGACGGCGGGGGAUAGCCGGCCCAACGGCCGGGUAAUACCGCGUACGACCUUUGGGGGGCAUCCCCUGGAGGUGAAAGCCGCAAGGCGCCGAUGGAGAACUUCGCGGCCUAUCAGCUAGUUGGUGAGGUAACGGCUCACCAAGGCUUAGACGGGUAGCGGUCUGAGAGGACGACCAGCCACACUGGAACUGAGAUACGGUCCAGACACC